GCUUCGAUAGUAUAAUGGUUAGUACAACGGUCUCAUAACAUGACCAGGCGUCAAACGUCUAGGAAAUCCGUAAAUCUGAGUUCGAUUCUCAGUCGAAGCA
This is a non-coding RNA of Delphinella strobiligena, 100 nucleotides long. NCBI's taxonomy places the organism in Eukaryota, Fungi, Ascomycota, Dothideomycetes, Dothideales, Dothioraceae. The record is from the annotation of a GenBank genome assembly.